This is a long non-coding RNA of Gallus gallus (chicken), 324 nucleotides long. NCBI's taxonomy places the organism in Eukaryota, Metazoa, Chordata, Aves, Galliformes, Phasianidae. The record is from Ensembl.
UGGAACUACUGGUGGGCCUGGUGCUGAGCCUGCUGCUGGACUUACUGCUGGGUGUGCUGCUGGGCCUGCUGCUGGAUCUGCUGCUGGAUCUGCUGCUGGGCCUGUAGUGGAACAGGGCCACCCUGCCUUUCUGGGCCACCCAGCUAAGCUCCUCUCUGCAGCCUCCAGGGGGCUCACUCCCAAUAAAACGGAUCUUUCUCGCAGGGAUAAAUGCUGUGGAAAAUUGCUUUUUUUAUUGCAGUUAAGAGGAGGUCUUCUUACAAACCUGAUUCUCCUGGGGCAAGCUGGAGCUCUAGGAUGAUUGCAGCAAUGCUCCCGAUAAAC